RNAcentral lists this ribosomal RNA (2816 nucleotides) under Escherichia coli. RNAcentral describes it as "bacterial LSU rRNA". It matches the Rfam family "Bacterial large subunit ribosomal RNA". Lineage: Bacteria; Pseudomonadati; Pseudomonadota; Gammaproteobacteria; Enterobacterales; Enterobacteriaceae. The record is from RNAcentral.
UUAAGCGACUAAGCGUACACGGUGGAUGCCCUGGCAGUCAGAGGCGAUGAAGGACGUGCUAAUCUGCGAUAAGCGUCGGUAAGGUGAUAUGAACCGUUAUAACCGGCGAUUUCCGAAUGGGGAAACCCAGUGUGUUUCGACACACUAUCAUUAACUGAAUCCAUAGGUUAAUGAGGCGAACCGGGGGAACUGAAACAUCUAAGUACCCCGAGGAAAAGAAAUCAACCGAGAUUCCCCCAGUAGCGGCGAGCGAACGGGGAGCAGCCCAGAGCCUGAAUCAGUGUGUGUGUUAGUGGAAGCGUCUGGAAAGGCGCGCGAUACAGGGUGACAGCCCCGUACACAAAAAUGCACAUGCUGUGAGCUCGAUGAGUAGGGCGGGACACGUGGUAUCCUGUCUGAAUAUGGGGGGACCAUCCUCCAAGGCUAAAUACUCCUGACUGACCGAUAGUGAACCAGUACCGUGAGGGAAAGGCGAAAAGAACCCCGGCGAGGGGAGUGAAAAAGAACCUGAAACCGUGUACGUACAAGCAGUGGGAGCACNGUGUGACUGCGUACCUUUUGUAUAAUGGGUCAGCGACUUAUAUUCUGUAGCAAGGUUAACCGAAUAGGGGAGCCGAAGGGAAACCGAGUCUUAACUGGGCGUUAAGUUGCAGGGUAUAGACCCGAAACCCGGUGAUCUAGCCAUGGGCAGGUUGAAGGUUGGGUAACACUAACUGGAGGACCGAACCGACUAAUGUUGAAAAAUUAGCGGAUGACUUGUGGCUGGGGGUGAAAGGCCAAUCAAACCGGGAGAUAGCUGGUUCUCCCCGAAAGCUAUUUAGGUAGCGCCUCGUGAAUUCAUCUCCGGGGGUAGAGCACUGUUUCGGCAAGGGGGUCAUCCCGACUUACCAACCCGAUGCAAACUGCGAAUACCGGAGAAUGUUAUCACGGGAGACACACGGCGGGUGCUAACGUCCGUCGUGAAGAGGGAAACAACCCAGACCGCCAGCUAAGGUCCCAAAGUCAUGGUUAAGUGGGAAACGAUGUGGGAAGGCCCAGACAGCCAGGAUGUUGGCUUAGAAGCAGCCAUCAUUUAAAGAAAGCGUAAUAGCUCACUGGUCGAGUCGGCCUGCGCGGAAGAUGUAACGGGGCUAAACCAUGCACCGAAGCUGCGGCAGCGACGCUUAUGCGUUGUUGGGUAGGGGAGCGUUCUGUAAGCCUGUGAAGGUGUGCUGUGAGGCAUGCUGGAGGUAUCAGAAGUGCGAAUGCUGACAUAAGUAACGAUAAAGCGGGUGAAAAGCCCGCUCGCCGGAAGACCAAGGGUUCCUGUCCAACGUUAAUCGGGGCAGGGUGAGUCGACCCCUAAGGCGAGGCCGAAAGGCGUAGUCGAUGGGAAACAGGUUAAUAUUCCUGUACUUGGUGUUACUGCGAAGGGGGGACGGAGAAGGCUAUGUUGGCCGGGCGACGGUUGUCCCGGUUUAAGCGUGUAGGCUGGUUUUCCAGGCAAAUCCGGAAAAUCAAGGCUGAGGCGUGAUGACGAGGCACUACGGUGCUGAAGCAACAAAUGCCCUGCUUCCAGGAAAAGCCUCUAAGCAUCAGGUAACAUCAAAUCGUACCCCAAACCGACACAGGUGGUCAGGUAGAGAAUACCAAGGCGCUUGAGAGAACUCGGGUGAAGGAACUAGGCAAAAUGGUGCCGUAACUUCGGGAGAAGGCACGCUGAUAUGUAGGUGAAGUCCCUCGCGGAUGGAGCUGAAAUCAGUCGAAGAUACCAGCUGGCUGCAACUGUUUAUUAAAAACACAGCACUGUGCAAACACGAAAGUGGACGUAUACGGUGUGACGCCUGCCCGGUGCCGGAAGGUUAAUUGAUGGGGUCAGCGCAAGCGAAGCUCUUGAUCGAAGCCCCGGUAAACGGCGGCCGUAACUAUAACGGUCCUAAGGUAGCGAAAUUCCUUGUCGGGUAAGUUCCGACCUGCACGAAUGGCGUAAUGAUGGCCAGGCUGUCUCCACCCGAGACUCAGUGAAAUUGAACUCGCUGUGAAGAUGCAGUGUACCCGCGGCAAGACGGAAAGACCCCGUGAACCUUUACUAUAGCUUGACACUGAACAUUGAGCCUUGAUGUGUAGGAUAGGUGGGAGGCUUNAUCCGGGUUGCGGACAGUGUCUGGUGGGUAGUUUGACUGGGGCGGUCUCCUCCUAAAGAGUAACGGAGGAGCACGAAGGUUGGCUAAUCCUGGUCGGACAUCAGGAGGUUAGUGCAAUGGCAUAAGCCAGCUUGACUGCGAGCGUGACGGCGCGAGCAGGUGCGAAAGCAGGUCAUAGUGAUCCGGUGGUUCUGAAUGGAAGGGCCAUCGCUCAACGGAUAAAAGGUACUCCGGGGAUAACAGGCUGAUACCGCCCAAGAGUUCAUAUCGACGGCGGUGUUUGGCACCUCGAUGUCGGCUCAUCACAUCCUGGGGCUGAAGUAGGUCCCAAGGGUAUGGCUGUUCGCCAUUUAAAGUGGUACGCGAGCUGGGUUUAGAACGUCGUGAGACAGUUCGGUCCCUAUCUGCCGUGGGCGCUGGAGAACUGAGGGGGGCUGCUCCUAGUACGAGAGGACCGGAGUGGACGCAUCACUGGUGUUCGGGUUGUCAUGCCAAUGGCACUGCCCGGUAGCUAAAUGCGGAAGAGAUAAGUGCUGAAAGCAUCUAAGCACGAAACUUGCCCCGAGAUGAGUUCUCCCUGACUCCUUGAGAGUCCUGAAGGAACGUUGAAGACGACGACGUUGAUAGGCCGGAUGUGUAAGCGCAGCGAUGCGUUGAGCUAACCGGUACUAAUGAACCGUGAGGCUUAACCUU